GGGAAUGAGUAUCGAUCCGGAGUCUGGAUUUGACUCACCAAAGUGUCAAUGCCGAAACAAUGGUCCGGAGUGGCUGCUUUCGUUCACCCCUGGUUAGUCAUCUACAUCCUCUGGGCAGCUUCCUUCACUCCCACCAGAUGCUAAAAGGAGAGUCCCAUGAGAUAUUACUGGCACCCCUAUGCAUUCCUGUAAUCUCCUAGGAUAGA
This 206-nucleotide long non-coding RNA is filed under the name Homo sapiens (human). Its description in RNAcentral is "non-protein coding lnc-ZPLD1-5:1". Lineage: Eukaryota; Metazoa; Chordata; Mammalia; Primates; Hominidae. The record is from RNAcentral.